RNAcentral lists this ribosomal RNA (459 nucleotides) under uncultured bacterium. RNAcentral describes it as "partial 16S ribosomal RNA". It matches the Rfam family "Bacterial small subunit ribosomal RNA", at positions 338 to 795 of the family's 1533-position model. The record is from RNAcentral.
CCUACGGGAGGCAGCAGUGAGGAAUAUUGGUCAAUGGGCGCGAGACUGAACCAGCCAAGUCGCGUGCGGGAUGACGGCCCUAUGGAUUGUAAACCUCUUUUAUCGGGGGGCAAAAUGCGCCACGCGUGGCGUUUUGAGGGUACCGCAUGAAUAAGCAUCGGCUAACUCCGUGCCAGCAGCCGCGGUAAUACGGAGGGUUCGGGCGUUAUCCGGAUUUAUUGGGUUUAAAGGGUGCGCAGGCGGAAGGUUAAGUUAGCGGUAAAAUGGAGGGGCGCAACCAUGUCGUGCCGUUGAAACUGGGUUUCUUGAGUGCGCGAGAAGUAUGCGGAAUGCGUGGUGUAGCGGUGAAAUGCAUAGAUAUCACGCAGAACUCCGAUUGCGAAGGCAGCAUACCGGAGCUCAACUGACGCUGAUGCACGAAAGUGUGGGUAUCGAACAGGAUUAGAUACCCGUGUAGUC